CCUACGGGAGGCAGCAGUGGGGAAUAUUGCACAAUGGGGGAAACCCUGAUGCAGCGACGCCGCGUGAGUGAAGAAGUAAUUCGUUAUGUAAAGCUCUAUCAGCAGGGAAGAAAAUGACGGUACCUAUGCCAGAAGCCCUGGCUAACUACGGGCCAGCAACCGCGGGAAUACGUCGGGGGCACGCGUUAUCCGGAUUUACUGGGUGGAAAGGGAGCGUAGACGGCAUUGCAAGUCUGGAGUGAAAGGGGGGGGCCCAACCCCCGGACUGCACUGGAAACUGUACGGCGGGAGUGCAGGAGAGGUAAGUGGAAUUCCUGGUGUAGCGGGGAAAUGCGUAGAUAUUAGGAGGAAAACCAGUGGCGAAGGCGGCUUACUGGACUGUAACUGACGUUGAGGCUCGAAAGCGUGGGGAGCAAACAGGAUUAGAUACCCUAGUAGUC
RNAcentral lists this ribosomal RNA (440 nucleotides) under uncultured bacterium. RNAcentral's name for it is "partial 16S ribosomal RNA". It matches the Rfam family "Bacterial small subunit ribosomal RNA", at positions 338 to 795 of the family's 1533-position model. The record is from RNAcentral.